CUCCUCCAUUGCAGUUUCUCUGCACAAGAGCUACUUUUCCUCCCUCUGAUUAUGCCUCUUUCGUUUCGUGGUGUUGUACCGAUCAUCUGUGGUGGUCACUCGCGGUCCGUGCCGGUGCUUUUUCGUCGUUCCGGCUGCGAACUACUGCUCGCUGUUGGUCGCCACAUUGCUUCAUAAAUGCCUAUGCUCCACCUCCCUCUCAAGCGUGCUUACAGGUUUGUGGUUGCCCUCCUGUAUCCUCUCUGUCUGUCUUUCGUCCUACCUACACCUGUGUGUACGCUUAAAAUGAAAUGCGGGUUCAGUCUGAUAGGAUGGGGAUGGCCAGAUGCUUGCAAGUUCAACUGUAGUGCUGGGUUUUGUGUACCCUAUUUCCUCGCAGCCCUAUUUGGGUUCGUUCAUACAGAGAUGUGUACUCUGGCUAAUAAUUUUUGUAUGAUGACUCUAUUAGUUCCUCUAUAGUAUGUUAGGCUGAUAUGUUGCCCA
This is a long non-coding RNA of Panicum virgatum (switchgrass), 483 nucleotides long. RefSeq lists it as uncharacterized. The record is from RefSeq and is a predicted model, not a curated record. Lineage: Eukaryota; Viridiplantae; Streptophyta; Magnoliopsida; Poales; Poaceae. The transcript is spliced from 3 exons.